Long non-coding RNA from Seriola aureovittata, 164 nucleotides. RefSeq lists it as uncharacterized. Lineage: Eukaryota; Metazoa; Chordata; Actinopteri; Carangiformes; Carangidae. The transcript has 3 exons. The record is from RefSeq and is a predicted model, not a curated record.
CUGGAGGAUCACUGGCAGGGGAUAACGGUGACGAUGGUGAGCAAGGCCCACCUGGCCCCCCAGGAGUAGAAGAAGUCAUAGAAUUUCCUCCAGACUUUCUUCCUCCCAAAGGUUACAAGGGAGAUAGGGGUCUUCCUGGACCAUGUGGACCAAAGGGCAAAAGG